This 463-nucleotide ribosomal RNA is filed under the name uncultured Hydrogenophaga sp. RNAcentral's name for it is "bacterial SSU rRNA". It matches the Rfam family "Bacterial small subunit ribosomal RNA", at positions 917 to 1381 of the family's 1533-position model. The record is from RNAcentral. Lineage: Bacteria; Pseudomonadati; Pseudomonadota; Betaproteobacteria; Burkholderiales; Comamonadaceae.
GACGGGACCGCACAAGCGGUGGAUGAUGUGGUUUAAUUCGAUGCAACGCGAAAACCUUACCCACCUUUGACAUGUACGGAAGUUGCCAGAGAUGGCUUCGUGCUCGAAAGAGAGCCGUAACACAGGUGCUGCAUGGCUGUCGUCAGCUCGUGUCGUGAGAUGUUGGGUUAAGUCCCGCAACGAGCGCAACCCUUGUCAUUAGUUGCUACGAAAGGGCACUCUAAUGAGACUGCCGGUGACAAACCGGAGGAAGGUGGGGAUGACGUCAAGUCCUCAUGGCCCUUAUAGGUGGGGCUACACACGUCAUACAAUGGCUGGUACAAAGGGUUGCCAACCCGCGAGGGGGAGCCAAUCCCAUAAAGCCAGUCGUAGUCCGGAUCGCAGUCUGCAACUCGACUGCGUGAAGUCGGAAUCGCUAGUAAUCGUGGAUCAGCAUGUCACGGUGAAUACGUUCCCGGGUCUU